UCUGUCGAGCCACGUCGUCAUCGCAUGCCGUAUGGCCGCUCAGUUUCACGACUCUUAUUCUCCGAAGAGUCGUGUACACUUCCCGCCUUUCCCCUAACGAGAUACAACUAGACGACAUAUACUGCUUGUUUACUUCUUGAUAGGAACACGUAAACCUUAUUAGACUACUUGCCCAGAAAUUCGAAUGAAAACCGUCGUUCCGAAGGAACUCUAUUAGGAACAGGUUACAUGUCACUCACGUGUCUAAGAGGUUCUAGAGGUUACGAUGAUAGGAUCCAACCGGCUGCUUAGUUUUCGGUCAAGACAUCAUAAAGAUACCGUGCGUAGACGUCAAGAGACGAGUGUAACAAGGGGACUAGUUCUUUCGAGAGGUCCAACGAGUCACGGACGAGCGACCUUCUCUAAAGUACCCAGUCGGAAAACGGUAAGGUGAGCCCUUGUGAUGUAAUCACUAGAUUUGCGAGAAUAUAAAGAAAUGUGUCCCUCAUCAGCAGUAUCAAAUACGUCGUAGCAGUACCGCGAGUUUCAUCUUUCCCAUAACACCAUACCGGUUCAUUUCCAAGGUCAAGAUCAAAUCAGGACAUAAAUCGACAAAAUCGGAGGUGAGACCGGGAGUUUCACCUGAUGUGCUUGGU
Molecule: ribosomal RNA, 635 nt
Filed under: Triticum aestivum (bread wheat)
Lineage: Eukaryota; Viridiplantae; Streptophyta; Magnoliopsida; Poales; Poaceae
Description: partial small subunit ribosomal RNA
Source: RNAcentral